UCUCCUCCCCGCUCGCUCCUAUCCUCCUCCAUGCCGCCGCCCCCUUCCCCCCGCUCGCCUCUGCCGCCUCCUCUCCUUCCCCGCACCUCCGGCCUCCCCCCUCCUCCCUCCUCCUCCAUCCUCUCUCAUUUGUCAUCACAGUAGACCAUCUCCCGUCACUUAGGCCCCAUGCCGGCGGCCGGGUCGGGAUGGAGGCGUGGCAGGGGUUGGUGGAUCGGCGGAUGUGGGCGGGCUCUCAUCGCUGCUCCAUGACGGCGGCCAGUUCAAUGGGUAGGGGUAGAAAGCCAUGGUGAACUUGGGAGAGGAGGAAGGCGACGGUCCAGCCCGCGGCAUCGGGCAGAGAGAGAUGGGGGCGGCGGCGCUGGGAAAAGAGAGAUGGUGGCGAAGGUGGCGGUGGCGCUGAGUAGAGAGAGCAUGGCGUCGGCGGCAACAACAACUGGUCUCUCCUCUUCGUAUCAUCAAUGAGGGUGUGGGCUACAGGAGCGCGAGGAUUUGAAACCUCUUCCUCCAUAAUCUUGCCGAGGUGCUCCUGAACUCGACAAGGAGAGCAACCUGCAUGAGGUUUGCACAUUCCCUCGCCUCCCUCCAUUGUUGAUCUCCAUCUUAUCUCUUUCUGCACGGGGGGCUCGUCUUUACGUGGUUCUCAACCGCCGAUUGAGAUUUGGAGGGAGACUAGGAGACCCAGGCGAAAACGAGUGUGCUAGCGGAGGCUCUGGGGAUGCAGGGUGAUAGGGCCCAGUCUAUGCUCCGGUUGUGUUGUUGGGAUUUUCAAGAUGGGCCUUCCUAUCCAUAAGUUUGUCUUUAUACUGCAUAUUAAUUCACUCUUUUGGGGAAGCUUCAGAUGGGAUUUAGAGAAGGAAAAGGAGACCCGUGCGAAAUCGAGCGUCCUGGUGUUGGGACUCAUGAUCCGCACUUGUUGUCUAAAUGCAGUACAUGCGCAUUGUAGUGAUAAUGUUGUUAACUGUCCCUGUAUAUUCCUUAGUUAGGUGUCUAAUAAACCAAGAAUUUGACACUUGUCAGUAAGUUCAGUAUAUCAUCGUCUACUUAGACAAAAUACAUCAUGGUCAAACAAUACAAAUAUUUCACAGGUAGAAAAAACAUACAAAUAUUAAUUUUCAGUAAAAUCAUGAAAUGUUCAGAUAUAUCAAUGCUUUCACCUCACUUGUCAUGCUAUUAUGAACUAUAUUUGUAGUUUAAUUGCUAUAUCAGAAUCAAAGUAACCCAUUCGGCGCUUGACUGUAUCUUAGCAUGCUUAUUGUGUACAUUCCUUAUGUCAUUUUUACAGAUAAAUUCAUUUGUGUCAAGUAUCGCUUUUUGCUGUAUGGACAUGACAAGUUGUCAUACAUUGGCCUGUUAAAUUUAUUGGGUGCCAAGUUCACUUGCCAUAUUCUCAAUUUUGUUUCUUCUGAUUUUGGUGUUGGUGUGUGUAUUGUUAGUGAAAAUAUGCUCAUAGUUUUUUUAAAUAUGUGUACGCCAUUAACUGAUGUCAUUGUGUUUUCAAGGGGUAUAUGAACCAGAAAUGAUGUGGUAUACUUGGUUAUUUGAACAUGAAGGUCAACCGCGGGGUGGCGCGACAUGGCGUGGCCUUAGCCAAUUAGUAAGCCAAGGUGGAGGUUGGGAAACAAAGAACUUGCCCAACUGUGGAAAUGGGCAGAACUAAACCAUGUAAACUUGAAGAUGGACACAUCUGCCGGAGUGACGGCGGCCAUGGGAGCCGGAAGAUCACAAGAGAUCGACCUUUUGGGUGGUCUAAUACUUCCUAUAUGGGCACAUAGAAAAGCCACUACGUGUCUAUUAUGAGCACUGCAAUUUAGACAUGAAAAGAAUGGUACUGGAGUUUGCCUAUCUAUCAUGAUUUUUAAGUUCUGCUUAGUUGAUAGCCUCACGUAAUGUGCCUCCAUGGAUGGAGCUUUCCGGGUCUGCCUUGUUGAAUGUUCUACCAUGGAUGGAGCUUUUGCUGAUACCCUUUCUGAAUAGCUGAUAUUUAUUGUACCUCACCUUCGCUCCUGGUUGGCGGGGAACCCCUCCUGGUUGAGCCCCUAGCCCCCACCUUGGUAGCUGCCUGGAGAGGAGGAUAGCUCGAGGACAACUCCCAAUGUGCCGAGGAGAUGGGAACAUGAUAAGCCGACACCUAAUAAGGAUCAGGAGAACAACAGAUAUGCUAAGAGACAACCUUUUGGGGUUAAGGAUAUAAACAACAACAUGGCUUAUGAGGCCGAAGAGAGCUCGAGUGGCGUCUUUUGGUUCUUGAAGACCUGCACGUUCCUGGUGGAGUAGAGCAAAAUAAUUUGGAGGCUUUAAAGCUACUGCACUUCAUGUAGUUAGGAUCAAUUCUUUGUUUUAGUUUGAAAUAUUCCCCAUUUCCUCCUAUUUGAUUGAUUCAUCUGAUGGACAUUUUGUCAGGCAAAUAAACAAAAGGCAUAUGUAUUGUUACGAGUGAAGCCAUCCAUACUCCCAUGUGGAAUUCAAGAAAUAAAGAAAUGUUAUUGUUCUUCUACUAA
Triticum dicoccoides is the source of this 2501-nucleotide long non-coding RNA. RefSeq lists it as uncharacterized. The transcript has 7 exons. The record is from RefSeq and is a predicted model, not a curated record. Lineage: Eukaryota; Viridiplantae; Streptophyta; Magnoliopsida; Poales; Poaceae.